UCGCCUGUUUAUCAAAAACAUAGUUUUAUGAAAACCAUAUAAAAUUUUACCUGCCCAGUGUAAUAUUAAAUAAAUGGCCGCAGUACCUUGACUGUGCUAAGGUAGCAUAAUCAAUUGGCUUUUAAUUAAAGUCUGGAAUGAAAGGGAUAAUGGAAAAUACCUGUCUUAAAUAUAAUUUAUAAAAUUUAUUUAUUAGGUGCAAAUACCUAAAACAAGAAUAAAGACGAGAAGACCCUAUGAGUUUUAAUUAAUAUUAAUAUCUUUUAUUUUUUAUUUUUUUGUUGGGGCGACAAAUUAACAUUUUAAACCUAAUUUUAAAAAAAUCAAGCGUAAUUGUAAAAUAAACUUAAACUACCUUAGGGAUAACAGCAUAAUUUAUUAGUAAGUUUGUGACCUCGAUGUUGGACUAGGAACUAUAUGGCUAACCGUUAAAAUAGAUUUGUUCUGUUCGAACAAUAUUAUCCUACGUGAUCUGAGUUCAGACCGGA
RNAcentral lists this ribosomal RNA (488 nucleotides) under Helicorbis kozhovi. RNAcentral's name for it is "partial 16S ribosomal RNA". It matches the Rfam family "Bacterial large subunit ribosomal RNA", at positions 1796 to 2620 of the family's 2925-position model. The record is from RNAcentral. Lineage: Eukaryota; Metazoa; Mollusca; Gastropoda; Planorbidae.